AACGCAUCUUGCGCUCCUUGGUAUUCCGAGGAGCAUGCCUGUUUGAGUGUUAUUAAUAUCUCAAACCCUCAACUCUUUUUGAGGGCUUGGAUUUGGAGGAUCUAUUUGCAGGGCUUUACUUUCAUUCUCUGCUCCUCUGAAAAGAAUAGGUGGCGUUUGUGUUUAGACCCACAUCAGAUGUGAUAAUUAUCUGCAUCUGAUUGGCUAUGCUUUGCUGCCCAUUUCCAGAAGCUUGCUUCAUUUGUUAUUUGACCUCAAAUCAGGUAGGACUACCCGCUGAACUUAA
This 286-nucleotide unclassified non-coding RNA is filed under the name uncultured Agaricales. RNAcentral's name for it is "sequence contains 5.8S rRNA gene, ITS2, 28S rRNA gene". The stretch from base 1 to 52 matches the Rfam family "5.8S ribosomal RNA", at positions 103 to 154 of the family's 154-position model. Lineage: Eukaryota; Fungi; Basidiomycota; Agaricomycetes; Agaricales. The record is from RNAcentral.